GACGAACGUUGGCGGCGUGCUUAACACAUGCAAGUCGAACGGAAAGGCCCUGCUUUUGUGGGGUGCUCGAGUGGCGAACGGGUGAGUAACACGUGAGUAACCUGCCCUUGACUUUGGGAUAACUUCAGGAAACUGGGGCUAAUACCGGAUAGGAGCUCCUGCUGCAUGGUGGGGGUUGGAAAGUUUCGGCGGUUGGGGAUGGACUCGCGGCUUAUCAGCUUGUUGGUGGGGUAGUGGCUUACCAAGGCUUUGACGGGUAGCCGGCCUGAGAGGGUGACCGGCCACAUUGGGACUGAGAUACGGCCCAGACUCCUACGGGAGGCAGCAGUGGGGAAUAUUGCACAAUGGGCGGAAGCCUGAUGCAGCAACGCCGCGUGCGGGAUGACGGCCUUCGGGUUGUAAACCGCUUUCGCCUGUGACGAAGCGUGAGUGACGGUAAUGGGUAAAGAAGCACCGGCUAACUACGUGCCAGCAGCCGCGGUGAUACGUAGGGUGCGAGCGUUGUCCGGAUUUAUUGGGCGUAAAGGGCUCGUAGGUGGUUGAUCGCGUCGGAAGUGUAAUCUUGGGGCUUAACCCUGAGCGUGCUUUCGAUACGGGUUGACUUGAGGAAGGUAGGGGAGAAUGGAAUUCCUGGUGGAGCGGUGGAAUGCGCAGAUAUCAGGAGGAACACCAGUGGCGAAGGCGGUUCUCUGGGCCUUUCCUGACGCUGAGGAGCGAAAGCGUGGGGAGCGAACAGGCUUAGAUACCCUGGUAGUCCACGCUGUAAACGGUGGGUACUAGGUGUGGGAUCCAUUCCACGGGUUCCGUGCCGUAGCUAACGCUUUAAGUACCCCGCCUGGGGAGUACGGCCGCAAGGCUAAAACUCAAAGGAAUUGACGGGGCCCCGCACAAGCGGCGGAGCAUGCGGAUUAAUUCGAUGCAACGCGUAGAACCUUACCUGGGUUUGACAUGGAUCGGGAGUGCUCAGAGAUGGGUGUGCCUCUUUUGGGGUCGGUUCACAGGUGGUGCAUGCCUGUCGUCAGCUCGUGUCGUGAGAUGUUGGGUUAAGUCCCGCAACGAGCGCAACCCUUGUUCACUGUUGCCAGCACGUUAUGGUGGGGACUCAGUGGAGACCGCCGGGGUCAACUCGGAGGAAGGUGGGGAUGACGUCAAGUCAUCAUGCCCCUUAUGUCCAGGGCUUCACGCAUGCUACAAUGGCUGGUACAGAGAGUGGCGAGCCUGUGAGGGUGAGCGAAUCUCGGAAAGCCGGUCUCAGUUCGGAUUGGGGUCUGCAACUCGACCUCAUGAAGUCGGAGUCGCUAGUAAUCGCAGAUCAGCAACGCUGCGGUGAAUACGUUCCCGGGGCU
RNAcentral lists this ribosomal RNA (1346 nucleotides) under uncultured bacterium. RNAcentral's name for it is "partial 16S ribosomal RNA". It matches the Rfam family "Bacterial small subunit ribosomal RNA", at positions 28 to 1381 of the family's 1533-position model. The record is from RNAcentral.